Molecule: long non-coding RNA, 1865 nt
Organism: Oncorhynchus kisutch (coho salmon)
Lineage: Eukaryota; Metazoa; Chordata; Actinopteri; Salmoniformes; Salmonidae
Exons: 3
Source: RefSeq, a predicted model, not a curated record
GAAUUGGGAUUGUGUCACAGAGCAUUAUGGGUAUUCUAUGUGUUGAGACAUUUGGUGACAUUGUUGGAUUAAAAGUGAAGAAUGAUAGUUUAGCAUUUUGGGGAUAUUAUUCCAUUCAAAUUAGUUUUUCAGAUUAAUUGUUUUCUUGGUUUUAGAACUCUAUUUUUGUGCCCAGUUAGUGCAAUUUAUUUAAAUUUGCCUUGCUAACUUCAGUAGCUAGCUAGCUACCAGCGCGAAUGUGUAGUUUUCUCUGCCAGUAUGGUUGAAUGGCCAAUGCUGCCAUGUUAUGGACUUUUUGUUGAAGAACCCCUUUCAUUUUCUGGGGUACAUGGAAAAGUUGCAAAUUAAAUGCAGGGGUCGACCUCUGCCUGAGCUCAGCUUCAUGAAGGAUGAAAAGUUGAGGGCGUUCAAUACCAACUGGUAUCAAAAGUAUAUCUGGUUAACAGGGAACUUUAAUCGAAGCCGCAUUUAUUGCUGACCUUACCUGCUUUUUGGAAAGUCUGAGCCUUGGUCGAAAGGUGGGUACAGUGACCUGAAGAACAUUGAUCGUUCAGCUAAAUGGCAAAACAGAAGCAGGGAGCAUAUAAAUGCCCACAUCAAAUUCAAGCUUCUGGGAAAAAGCUGCAACGAUUAUGACAAAGGUCUGCGUAUUCAAACUGCGCAACACAACGAGAAAGUAAGAAGAAACAGGGAUGUUAUAAGCUGCUUAUCAACACAACUGCUUUUUUGGGCAUGCAAUAAUUUACUUUUAGAGGAUACGACGAGAGGUAAAGUUCCACCAACAAGGGCAACUACUACAAGGAGCUUGCAGAGCCAAGUCCCCUCCUGUUCCCUGAUUUAAGAGGUGAUGACUACUCCACUUCACUACCAUUGUCAACUUUCUCCUGACAUUAACUGAAGCCCCUUCUCAUGUGCCCGCUCUUACACUGGCAUGCACAUUGAAUACUUCCCCUCCAGGCACUUAGCUACUAUCUUGUCUCAUCGCUACAACUCCCGUACGGGCUCGGGAGAGACGAAGGUUGAAAGUCAUGCGUCCUCCGAUACACAACCCAACCAGCCGUACUGCUUCUUAACACAGCGCGCAUCCAACCCGGAAUGUGUCGGAGAGUACACCAUGCACCUGGCAACCUUGGUUAGCGCGCACUGCGCCCGGCCCGCCACAGGAGUCGCUGGUGCGCGAUGAGACAAGGACAUCCCUACCGACCAAGCCCUCCCUAACCCGGACGACGCUAGGCCAAUUGUGCGUCGCCCCACGGACCUCCCGGUCGCGGCCGGUUACGACAGAGCCUGGGCGCGAACCCAGGGACUCUGAUGGCACCCUUAACCACUGCGCCACCUGGGAGGCCAAUGAUUUUACUCCUUGCUUGGACUAACUCAUUCUUAGCUCUUUUGUCUAACUGUGUAAUGUGUUGUGUUAUUGUUUGUUGUCUUCCCAGUCAAAUCCUGUCCUGCACUGGUCAAGCCUCAUACCUCAACUCAACUCAUGCCUCAUACCUUCAUUCAAUCACUGCUGUAAUCCCUUUCCAACAUGGUGUAAGUAGCCCCCUCAUUCCCCAUAAUAUUGUACCAUAAAUGACUUUAUUAAAUGCUUUAGGUUAAAAGAAUUCGUCUUUGACAAUUUUUUUAAACACACUUUGUUGUCUCCGUGCAUUCUGCGCCUAUACCGUGGGUCUCCCAUCAUCCUCAGUUAUUCAAGUCACCAGCCUCCACUGCUAUGAACAGAGGUCCUCAUAGAAAGUGGCACCAAACCACCUAUGUUGACAGCCAGGUCUCGCGUAACACUGUAAAUGUAAAUUCAGAUAUUUACAGUUGAAGUUUACAUACACCUUCGGAAGUUUACAUACACAUUAGCCAAAUACAUUUAA